GUUGAACGCUGGCGGAACGCUUUACACAUGCAAGUCGAACGGUAACGAGGAGAGAAGCUUGCUUCUCUCCGGCGACGAGUGGCGAACGGGUGAGUAAUACAUCGGAACGUGUCCGCUCGUGGGGGACAACCAGCCGAAAGGUUGGCUAAUACCGCAUGAGUUCUACGGAAGAAAGAGGGGGACCCGCAAGGGCCUCUCGCGAGCGGAGCGGCCGAUGACUGAUUAGCCGGUUGGUGAGGUAACGGCUCACCAAAGCAACGAUCAGUAGCUGGUCUGAGAGGACGACCAGCCACACUGGGACUGAGACACGGCCCAGACUCCUACGGGAGGCAGCAGUGGGGAAUUUUGGACAAUGGGCGCAAGCCUGAUCCAGCUAUUCCGCGUGUGGGAUGAAGGCCCUCGGGUUGUAAACCACUUUUGUAGAGAACGAAAAGACACCUUCGAAUAAAGGGUGUUGCUGACGGUACUCUAAGAAUAAGCACCGGCUAACUACGUGCCAGCAGCCGCGGUAAUACGUAGGGUGCGAGCGUUAAUCGGAAUUACUGGGCGUAAAGGGUGCGCAGGCGGUUGAGUAAGACAGAUGUGAAAUCCCCGAGCUUAACUCGGGAAUGGCAUAUGUGACUGCUCGACUAGAGUGUGUCAGAGGGAGGUGGAAUUCCACGUGUAGCAGUGAAAUGCGUAGAUAUGUGGAAGAACACCGAUGGCGAAGGCAGCCUCCUGGGACAUAACUGACGCUCAGGCACGAAAGCGUGGGGAGCAAACAGG
Molecule: ribosomal RNA, 765 nt
Filed under: uncultured bacterium
Lineage: Bacteria
Description: bacterial SSU rRNA
Rfam family: Bacterial small subunit ribosomal RNA
Source: RNAcentral